GGAGAGGUCGCCUAGUCCGGUCUAUGGCGUGCGUCUGGAAAGCGCAUAUGGGUCACACCAUCGAGGGUUCAAAUCCCUCCCUCUCCG
Molecule: transfer RNA, 87 nt
Filed under: Anaerolineales bacterium
Lineage: Bacteria; Bacillati; Chloroflexota; Anaerolineae; Anaerolineales
Description: tRNA-Ser
Rfam family: tRNA
About the family: Transfer RNA (tRNA) molecules are approximately 80 nucleotides in length.
Source: RNAcentral